Molecule: ribosomal RNA, 460 nt
Filed under: uncultured bacterium
Lineage: Bacteria
Description: partial 16S ribosomal RNA
Rfam family: Bacterial small subunit ribosomal RNA
Source: RNAcentral
CCUACGGGUGGCUGCAGUGAGGAAUAUUGGUCAAUGGGCGCGAGCCUGAACCAGCCAAGUAGCGUGAAGGAUGACUGCCCUACGGGUUGUAAACUUCUUUUAUAAAGGAAUAAAGUGAGGCACGUGUGCCUUUUUGUAUGUAUUUUAUGAAUAAGGAUCGGCUAACUCCGUGCCAGCAGCCGCGGUAAUACGGAGGAUCCGAGCGUUAUCCGGAUUUAUUGGGUUUAAAGGGAGCGUAGAUGGGUUGUUAAGUCAGUUGUGAAAGUUUGCGGCUCAACUGUAAAAUUGCAGUUGAAACUGGCAGUCUUGAGUACAGUAGUGGUGGGCGGAAUUCGUGGUGUAGCGGUGAAAUGCUUAGCUAUCACGAAGAACUCCGAUUGCGAAGGCAGCUCACUGGACUGCAACUGACACUGAUGCUCGAAAGUGUGGGUAUCAAACAGGAUUAGAUACCCCAGUAGUC